CAGGAAUAUGGAAAGAUCUCCUUUAAAGCACAUUUUUAUUGGUAUCUGUUAUACAAUUUCUGUAUGUGGAGCAGACGCCGGCGAUUGUCCUGCGUGUGUUUAUGUAUGUAUAAGGCAUUCAUGAGAUUAGUGUGAACCUUGUCCUCCCUGAAGGUUGCGGAGGCCAGGCACGCUGCCACUGCCUCAUAUGCAUCUCUUUUAUUGUCUGCUGUGCAUAAUCACACUCCUCUCGCUUCUCAGUGCCAGACUUUUGACCCUUUUUAUUUUGCUGUCCAUUUUCAGCUGCCCCACAACCCAACAGGCAUUAGGCUAGUGAACAGAUGUGCAGGGAGCAGCCAGUUAAUGCUAAUGAGCUCCUCUGAAACACCAAAUCAUUUUCAUAGUCCACAUGACAGCAGAGGAGGAAGAAAGCUAACGUGUUGUGUCCAGUUUUAUUGAAAGGCUAGCUUCGUUUUAUAAAUUUUUAAUUGUGGGUUUUAACUCGCCCGGCAUCGUCUGGGUCAUGGGCCAGACACGGGUUGGUGUGCGCGUUAGUAUCAGCGUGUGCAUGUGCGUCUGCACCACUGCACUUGCAUGAGCGUUGUGGCUAUUUGUGAGUAUGCAUUUCCCCAGGCUACACAAAGCAGGGGACUCCUUGACAGUUUCUCCCUGUCACUGCACAGGCCUAUGUGUGUGUGUGUGUGUGUGUGUGUGUGUGUGUGAUCAAUCUCACGUGGACCAGUCAUGGUGUCAGGGCAGCAGUGGAUCUGACUCUCACUCUCUCUCCCUCUCUACUCUCCCCAUCUCCCAUUCCUCUUCCACUUUCUCCCUUGCUCCCUUCCAUAUAUCCUUUUCUUUGGCCAUGGAGCAGAAGGAGAGCCGGGGUCAGGAGCGAGCCGUCUGAGCAUCCAUUUUUCUGCAGGAUAAUUAAUGCACGCCGAGCUGGAGGACUGAUCCCAGGACUGCUCCAAACAGGACUGUGAGAGGAAGACUCACCUCCUCCACACCAGCAAAAGAAGAUAUCGUCAAAUGAAUAGAAGACUCAUCAAGUGUGAGGAGGAACCAUCAGAGGAUUAUUAGGCCCAAGUUGUUUUCUGAUCAGUUAGAAAACUGUUCAUGUUCAGACCUGAACUAUUGGGUUCUAAUCCAUCAGGACAAAGACUCCACCUAGUCUAGAAUUAUUCCUCCUCAUCUCUGUGGAGCCUGCUGCAGAAAUCUGCUGCUAACUUAAAGAAUGACACCGCUGCACGUCUGUAAAAAAAACAACUCCUCAACUCAACUGCCGUUUGUGUCGACACACACACCGACUGCGCAUGCACCGUGCACAGAACACCGUGCACGUACAGCACCAAACCUCCUCAAGUUCAGUUCUGGUGAUUGAUUGAAGACGACAAUGAAGACAGCAGUGGCUUCAGGUUAUGUGAGAAGGUCUGACAUUACCUACAGCUGAACAACACAUUACUCAGAUAUUACAAGGACAUAAAUAUGGUUUAGCUCCUCGUGAGGAAUUGUUGCUCCUGGAAGGAAGUGUGAGAUGAAGUAUGCAUGUGUGGACCCACCUAAACCGUAAUGUAUAGAUGCUCCUCUUUGAACACAGAGGUGAAAGUCGGACUUUUUCCUAACGCUAUAAAAAAACCCAGAGAUCCCCGGGGGCAGAGGGGCCGCUGGCCUGCCAUGCAUCUUCAGAGAACAGAUAUCUGUUGUCCGACCGAGACAGACAGCGGUGGCUUGUUGUUAAGAGUGGGUUUAUCUUCUCACUGAAUCAGGAGAG
Molecule: long non-coding RNA, 1750 nt
Organism: Cynoglossus semilaevis (tongue sole)
Lineage: Eukaryota; Metazoa; Chordata; Actinopteri; Pleuronectiformes; Cynoglossidae
Exons: 3
Source: RefSeq, a predicted model, not a curated record